UACGAGGGGGCGAGCGUUGUUCGGAAUUAUUGGGCGUAAAGCGCGCGUAGGCAGGUUGGUAAGUCCGCUGUGAAAGCCCGGAGCUUAACUCCGGAGGGUCGGUGGAUACUGCCAGUCUUGAAGGUGCUAGGGGGAGAUGGAAUUACCGGUGUAGCGGUGAAAUGCGUAGAUAUCGGAAGGAACAUCAGUGGCGAAAGCGACUUCCUGGACCAAUACUGACGCUCAUGUGCGAAAGCGUGGGGAGCAAACAGG
Molecule: ribosomal RNA, 252 nt
Filed under: uncultured bacterium
Lineage: Bacteria
Description: partial 16S ribosomal RNA
Rfam family: Bacterial small subunit ribosomal RNA
Source: RNAcentral